GAUCCUGGCUCAGGACGAACGCUGGCGGCGUGCCUAAUACAUGCAAGUAGAACGCUGAAGGGGGAGCUUGCUUCUCCGGAUGAGUUGCGAACGGGUGAGUAACGCGUAGGUAACCUGCCUGGUAGCGGGGGAUAACUAUUGGAAACGAUAGCUAAUACCGCAUAAUAGUAGAUGUUGCAUGACAUUUGCUUAAAGGGUGCAAUUGCAUCACUACCAGAUGGACCUGCGUUGUA
RNAcentral lists this ribosomal RNA (233 nucleotides) under uncultured bacterium. RNAcentral's name for it is "partial 16S ribosomal RNA". It matches the Rfam family "Bacterial small subunit ribosomal RNA", at positions 15 to 240 of the family's 1533-position model. The record is from RNAcentral.